This 165-nucleotide ribosomal RNA is filed under the name uncultured bacterium. RNAcentral describes it as "partial 16S rRNA". It matches the Rfam family "Bacterial small subunit ribosomal RNA", at positions 355 to 511 of the family's 1533-position model. The record is from RNAcentral.
UAGGGAAUCUUCGGCAAUGGGGGCAACCCUGACCGAGCAACGCCGCGUGAGUGAAGAAGGUUUUCGGAUCGUAAAGCUCUGUUGUAAGAGAAGAACGUGUGUGAGAGUGGAAAGUUCACACAGUGACGGUAACUUACCAGAAAGGGACGGCUAACUACGUGCAAG